GUUUUGUUGCUGUGGAUUUUAAAUUGCAUGUUUUUAUAUUUUAGGAUUUGAUUAUAGUUUUAUUUGCAUGUUUUUAUAUUUUAGAAGUUGAUUGUAUUUUGGAUUGCACAUUUUUACAUUUUAGAAGUUGAUUGUAUUUUUGAUUGCAUGUUUUUAUUCCUUGUGGACUUGCUUGCUGGUGUUUUAAGACAUUGCCCCUUUUAGCUGGUUGCCCCUAACAACAAAAGUGCACAAUUCAACGGCACGGGAAAUUGGAUACACCUGUGGAGCAUUAGGACUGCACAUUUAAAAGGAGCAGCAAGAGAUUGGAGGACAGAGGGUUGAUGGAGGGAAACGGCAGGUUUUGGCAGCAGGAGAGAGGGGACGGAAGGAUUCGGCAGGCUUCGCCAAGAGCGACCGAGCGAACGCACGCAGGCGGGGAAGGAACCCCCGGACGACACAGCACAUCCCGCAGGCUACCGGAGCGAACCCCGAGGAACACACAACACGCAGGGGCAGAGGAAACUCUGCCUCCAACGUAAGUCCCGUGUGUUGUGGAGCUGUGGAGACAUCUGACUGCCUUUGGCUGUGGCUUUGCGGGCUCGUGCGUCGUAGCUGGCUGUGUAGUUCUUGUGGACGGGGCGAUUUGGACCCGGAGACCUGCGGUGACCCCCGAUAGUGACCAAGAGGCGGAGCGGGACGGGUGGGGCCACGUAGGUCCCGCUAGUGACCGAGACUGGCGAGGAGAGUGGGCGUGCCCCAACACUUUGACGGGGAACUACAGCAAAGGCAGGGGAAACCCUGCCUUGUGUGAGGACGCCGUGGAAGGGGCGAAGCCAAGAUACCCACACGCCUGUUGGCCCCUCGCCCAUCACCUUUGUACCAUCUGGUAUUUUAGCAUCAACAACGUGACUGUUUUUAUUGUAUUUUAAUAUAUUGUGAACCGGUUAA
Long non-coding RNA from Nerophis ophidion (straightnose pipefish), 930 nucleotides. RefSeq lists it as uncharacterized. The record is from RefSeq and is a predicted model, not a curated record. The transcript is spliced from 2 exons. Lineage: Eukaryota; Metazoa; Chordata; Actinopteri; Syngnathiformes; Syngnathidae.